This 1282-nucleotide long non-coding RNA is filed under the name Anas platyrhynchos platyrhynchos (common mallard). RNAcentral's name for it is "lncRNA (ENSAPLG00000025453.1)". Lineage: Eukaryota; Metazoa; Chordata; Aves; Anseriformes; Anatidae. The record is from RNAcentral.
AUGGCUGAUACGGAGGUGAGGCGAGGCCCCGGCAUGCCAAGAAAGGAAAUGGAGCACGGCAGAACCGCCCGUGGAGCGGAGCAGAGCUGGGAUGCUGCACUGAACCAUGGAGAUGCCAUAGCAGGAACAACUCGUGGUUGCAAACCAGGCUACCCGGUUUUAAGUCACAUCCAACUUUUUUUUUUCUUUUUGAGCCAGGCAACUAAAUAUUUCUGAAGCUUAUUAAAUUAACCAGUUAGACCAAGGCAAUAUACAAGGUAUAGAGGCCAAAGAAAGCAGCGUGGGUGUAACUUUUUGAAGGAGAAUUAUAGUUGCUGCUGAUCAUGCUGUUACAGUAAAUGUUGUGUCAGUGUUUCCAUUAUUGGUCUUUUUUUUUUUUUUCCUCCUUCAGUGAGUUGUUCUGGGGCUGCAUGAAAAGGUUUCCACGUGCUGCAAAAUGUAACGUGAAACCAGCAAAUCUCUUACCCAAGGAAUCCCCAUGGUUUAGACUAGGAAGAAGCAUCUGAAAGCUGGCAUCUGAACCCGAUGCUGGUCACCCAAAAUUCUGGGGGAGUCCAGUCCGUGCUCAGCUCUCCCUGAUGUGAAACGUAGUCACUUUGGUUCUUGCACAGUGUCUAAAGAGGUGACAGAUCUUCAAGUUGGGUAAACAUCUCUGGUUCAUCUCUGAUACAAACAGAGCUUGGCUGUGUUUGUGAUUUGGCUUGCGCUCUUUGCAUCACAUCGCUGCGUGGGGACUCUGCGGCUGACAGUAAGAUGCUACACAAGAUGCCGGUCGUACUGCAAAGACCUUCUGUUACUGAGUAAGCUUUGUGUGUCAGCCCACGCAAACGUGCUGUACUUGAUUAAUCGUGUUCAUUAGGGUUGUAUUUUCAGGCAGCCGAGAACAGGGCUCCCUUAUGCUGGGCACUGUGCAGAUCUGGAGAACCAGCAGUGCUUUGUUUCCUGUGUGACGUGCCAACGUCUUUCUCCAGGCCAAGCCUGCUUUCUAAUUCAAGUGACAAAAUUAGUGAAAAACUGGUUUGCGUCUUGCUCUUCCAUCCGCCUGGGCAUGUUUGGGAAUCCCUUAGAAUGACUGAAUUCAGUGGUUUAAGCUUUUUUUUUUUUUUAUUGCACACCUCCCACAAUAACUCUGAAGCAGCUUCAUAAUGGAAAUGCUGACACAACACUAUCGCCUCAGCCCCAGGAGUGUGUUCCACCUUCUAUUGUUUGCCUUGGCCUCUGUAUAUUGUAUACUGCCUCAGUUUAAUUGGUUAAUUUAAUAAACUUCUGAAGUGCUGUAUCA